GAUGAACGCUGGCGGCGUGCCUAAUACAUGCAAGUCGAGCGAACGGACGAGAAGCUUGCUUCUCUGAUGUUAGCGGCGGACGGGUGAGUAACACGUGUAUAACCUACCUAUAAGACUGGGAUAACUUCGGGAAACCGUAGCUAAUACCGGAUAAUAUUUUGAACCGCAUGGUUCAAAAGUGAAAGACGGUCUUGCUGUCACUUAUAGAUGGAUCCGCGCUGCAUUAGCUAGUUGGUAAGGUAACGGCUUACCAAGGCAACGAUGCAUAGCCGACCUGAGAGGGUGAUCGGCGACACUGGAACUGAGACACGGUCCAGACUACUGCGGGAGGCAGCAGUAGGGAAUCUUCCGCAAUGGGCGAAAGCCUGACGGAGCAACGCCGCGUGAGUGAUGAAGGUCUUCGGAUCGUAAAACUCUGUUAUGAGGGAAGAACAUAUGUGUAAGUAACUGAGCACAUAUUGACGGUACCUAAUAAGAAAGCAACGGCUAACUACGUG
RNAcentral lists this ribosomal RNA (497 nucleotides) under uncultured bacterium. RNAcentral's name for it is "partial 16S ribosomal RNA". It matches the Rfam family "Bacterial small subunit ribosomal RNA", at positions 28 to 507 of the family's 1533-position model. The record is from RNAcentral.